UGGGGAAUUUUCCGCAAUGGGCGAGAGCCUGACGGAGCAAUGCCGCGUGGAGGUGGAAGGCCUACGGGUCGUCAACUUCUUUUCUCGGAGAAGAAACAAUGACGGUAUCUGAGGAAUAAGCAUCGGCUAACUCUGUGCCAA
Molecule: ribosomal RNA, 141 nt
Filed under: uncultured bacterium
Lineage: Bacteria
Description: partial 16S rRNA
Rfam family: Bacterial small subunit ribosomal RNA
Source: RNAcentral